Molecule: ribosomal RNA, 378 nt
Filed under: uncultured bacterium
Lineage: Bacteria
Description: bacterial SSU rRNA
Rfam family: Bacterial small subunit ribosomal RNA
Source: RNAcentral
AGUCAAUAGAUACCCGGGUAGUCCAUGCCGUAAACGAUGAUUGCUAGGUGUGGGGGGUCUGACCCCUUCCGUGCCGGAGUUAAACACAAAUAAGCAAUCCACCUGGGGAGUACGGCCGCAAGGUUGAAACUCAAAGGAAUUGACGGGGGCCCGCACAAGCAGUGGAGUAUGUGGUUUAAUUCGAAGCAACGCGAAGAACCUUACCAGGUCUUGACAUCCACCGAAUCCUGUAGAGAUACGGGAGUGCCCUUCGGGAACGGUGAGACAGGUGGUGCAUGGUUGUCGUCAGCUCGUGUCGUGAGAUGUUGGGUUAAGUCCCGCAACGAGCGCAACCCUUGUGAAUAGUUGCUACGAAACGAGCACUCUAUUCAGACCGCC